GAUGAACGCUGGCGGCGUGCCUAAUACAUGCAAGUCGAACGGGGAGUAGCAAUACUCUUAGUGGCGAACGGGUGAGUAACGCGCUGGUACCUGCCCCGAAGCGGGGGAUAACGGACCGAAAGGUCCGCUAAUACCCCAUGUGCUCGGUAACGAGUAAAGGUGAAAACCACUUUGGGAGGGGCCUGCGUCCCAUCAGCUAGUUGGUAAGGUAACGGCUUACCAAGGCGAUGACGGGUAGGGGACCUGAGAGGGUGGCCCCCCACAAUGGAACUGAAACACGGUCCAUACACCUACGGGUGGCAGCAGUAGGGAAUAUUGGUAAUGGGCGCAAGCCUGAACCAGCAACGCCGCGUGUGCGAUGACGGCCUUCGGGUUGUAAAGCACUUUUGACUGGGACGAGGAAGGACGGUACCGGUCGAAUCAGCCUCGGCUAACUACGUG
This 441-nucleotide ribosomal RNA is filed under the name uncultured bacterium. RNAcentral describes it as "partial 16S ribosomal RNA". It matches the Rfam family "Bacterial small subunit ribosomal RNA", at positions 28 to 507 of the family's 1533-position model. The record is from RNAcentral.